Molecule: non-coding RNA, 110 nt
Organism: Pelobates cultripes (western spadefoot toad)
Lineage: Eukaryota; Metazoa; Chordata; Amphibia; Anura; Pelobatidae
Source: the annotation of a GenBank genome assembly
CUCCAGCAGACCCUCCCUCCCAGACCCUCCUACUUCCUGGACAGUAUCCAUGUUGAAACAUGGAUGCUGUCCAGGAAGUAGGAGGGUUUGGGAGGGAGGGUCUGCUGGAG